UAUACAUGCAAGUCGAACGAACUCUGGUAUUGAUUGGUGCUUGCAUCAUGAUCUUACAUUUGAGUGAGUGGCGAACUGGUGAGUAACACGUGGGAAACCUGCCCAGAAGCGGGGGAUAACACCUGGAAACAGAUGCUAAUACCGCAUAACAACUUGGACCGCAUGGUCCGAGCUUGAAAGAUGGCUUCGGCUAUCACUUUUGGAUGGUCCCGCGGCGUAUUAGCUAGAUGGUGGGGUAACGGCUCACCAUGGCAAUGAUACGUAGCCGACCUGAGAGGGUAAUCGGCCACAUUGGGACUGAGACACGGCCCAAACUCCUACGGGAGGCAGCAGUAGGGAAUCUUCCACAAUGGACGAAAGUCUGAUGGAGCAACGCCGCGUGAGUGAAGAAGGGUUUCGGCUCGUAAAACUCUGUUGUUAAAGAAGAACAUAUCUGAGAGUAACUGUUCAGGUAUUGACGGUAUUUAACCAGAAAGCCACGGCUAACUACGUGCCAGCAGCCGCGGUAAUACGUAGGUGGCAAGCGUUGUCCGGAUUUAUUGGGCGUAAAGCGAGCGCAGGCGGUUUUUUAAGUCUGAUGUGAAAGCCUUCGGCUCAACCGAAGAAGUGCAUCGGAAACUGGGAAACUUGAGUGCAGAAGAGGACAGUGGAACUCCAUGUGUAGCGGUGAAAUGCGUAGAUAUAUGGAAGAACACCAGUGGCGAAGGCGGCUGUCUGGUCUGUAACUGACGCUGAGGCUCGAAAGUAUGGGUAGCAAACAGGAUUAGAUACCCUGGUAGUCCAUACCGUAAACGAUGAAUGCUAAGUGUUGGAGGGUUUCCGCCCUUCAGUGCUGCAGCUAACGCAUUAAGCAUUCCGCCUGGGGAGUACGGCCGCAAGGCUGAAACUCAAAGGAAUUGACGGGGGCCCGCACAAGCGGUGGAGCAUGUGGUUUAAUUCGAAGCUACGCGAAGAACCUUACCAGGUCUUGACAUACUAUGCAAAUCUAAGAGAUUAGACGUUCCCUUCGGGGACAUGGAUACAGGUGGUGCAUGGUUGUCGUCAGCUCGUGUCGUGAGAUGUUGGGUUAAGUCCCGCAACGAGCGCAACCCUUAUUAUCAGUUGCCAGCAUUAAGUUGGGCACUCUGGUGAGACUGCCGGUGACAAACCGGAGGAAGGUGGGGAUGACGUCAAAUCAUCAUGCCCCUUAUGACCUGGGCUACACACGUGCUACAAUGGAUGGUACAACGAGUUGCGAACUCGCGAGAGUAAGCUAAUCUCUUAAAGCCAUUCUCAGUUCGGAUUGUAGGCUGCAACUCGCCUACAUGAAGUCGGAAUCGCUAGUAAUCGCGGAUCAGCAUGCCGCGGUGAAUACGUUCCCGGGCCUUGUACACACCGCCCGUCACACCAUGAGAGUUUGUAACACCCAAAGUCGGUGGGGUAACCUUUUAGGAACCAGCCGCCU
This 1444-nucleotide ribosomal RNA is filed under the name Lactiplantibacillus plantarum. RNAcentral's name for it is "bacterial SSU rRNA". It matches the Rfam family "Bacterial small subunit ribosomal RNA". Lineage: Bacteria; Bacillati; Bacillota; Bacilli; Lactobacillales; Lactobacillaceae. The record is from RNAcentral.